Molecule: ribosomal RNA, 440 nt
Filed under: uncultured bacterium
Lineage: Bacteria
Description: partial 16S ribosomal RNA
Rfam family: Bacterial small subunit ribosomal RNA
Source: RNAcentral
CCUACGGGGGGCAGCAGUAGGGAAUAUUGCUCAAUGGGGGAAACCCUGAAGCAGCAACGCCGCGUGAAGGAUGAAGGUUUUCGGAUUGUAAACUCCUUUUGUUAGAGAAGAUAAUGACGGUAUCUAACGAAUAAGCACCGGCUAACUCCGUGCCAGCAGCCGCGGUAAUACGGAGGGUGCAAGCGUUACUCGGAAUCACUGGGCGUAAAGAGCGCGUAGGCGGGAUAGCAAGUCAGAUGUGAAAUCCUAGGGCUUAACCAUAGAACUGCAUUUGAAACUGUUAUUCUAGAGUAUGGGAGAGGUAGGUGGAAUUCUUGGUGUAGGGGUAAAAUCCGUAGAGAUCAAGAGGAAUACUCAUUGCGAAGGCGACCUGCUAGAACAUAACUGACGCUGAUGCGCGAAAGCGUGGGGAGCAAACAGGAUUAGAUACCCCGGUAGUC